This 387-nucleotide ribosomal RNA is filed under the name uncultured bacterium. Its description in RNAcentral is "bacterial SSU rRNA". It matches the Rfam family "Bacterial small subunit ribosomal RNA", at positions 335 to 713 of the family's 1533-position model. The record is from RNAcentral.
ACUCCUACGGGAGGCAGCAGUGGGGAAUAUUGCACAAUGGGCGCAAGCCUGAUGCAGCCAUGCCGCGUGUGUGAAGAAGGCCUUCGGGUUGUAAAGCACUUUCUAGUUGUGAGGAAGGUGGUGUCGUUAAUAGCGGCAUCAUUUGACGUUAGCAACAGAAGAAGCACCGGCUAACUCCGUGCCAGCAGCCGCGGUAAUACGGAGGGUGCGAGCGUUAAUCGGAAUUACUGGGCGUAAAGCGCAUGCAGGUGGUUUGUUAAGUCAGAUGUGAAAGCCCGGGGCUCAACCUCGGAACUGCAUUUGAAACUGGCAGACUAGAGUACUGUAGAGGGGGGUAGAAUUUCAGGUGUAGCGGUGAAAUGCGUAGAGAUCUGAAGGAAUACCGGU